GACGAACGCUGGCGGCGUGCCUAAUACAUGCAAGUAGAACGCUGAAGCUUGUGCUUGCACCGAGCGGAUGAGUUGCGAACGGGUGAGUAACGCGUAGGUAACCUGCCUGGUAGCGGGGGAUAACUAUUGGAAACGAUAGCUAAUACCGCAUAAGAGUAGAUGUUGCAUGACAUUUGCUUAAAAGGUGCAAUUGCAUCACUACCAGAUGGACCUGCGUUGUAUUAGCUAGUUGGUGAGGUAACGGCUCACCAAGGCGACGAUACAUAGCCGACCUGAGAGGGUGAUCGGCCACACUGGGACUGAGACACGGCCCAGACUCCUACGGGAGGCAGCAGUAGGGAAUCUUCGGCAAUGGACGGAAGUCUGACCGAGCAACGCCGCGUGAGUGAAGGAGGUUUUCGGAUCGUAAAGCUCUGUUGUAAGAGAAGAACGAGUGUGAGAGUGGAAAGUUCACACUGUGACG
Molecule: ribosomal RNA, 463 nt
Filed under: Streptococcus sp. oral taxon C08
Lineage: Bacteria; Bacillati; Bacillota; Bacilli; Lactobacillales; Streptococcaceae
Description: bacterial SSU rRNA
Rfam family: Bacterial small subunit ribosomal RNA
Source: RNAcentral